UACGUAGGGUGCGAGCGUUGUCCGGAAUUAUUGGGCGUAAAGGGCUCGUAGGCGGUCUGUUGCGUCAGGAGUGAAAACUCGGGGCUUAACCCCGAGCCUGCUUCUGAUACGGGCAGACUAGAGGUAUGCAGGGGAGAACGGAAUUCCUGGUGUAGCGGUGAAAUGCGCAGAUAUAGGAGGAACACCGGUGGCGAAGGCGGUUCUCUGGGCAUUACCUGACGCUGAGGAGCGAAAGUGUGGGGAGCGAACAGG
Molecule: ribosomal RNA, 252 nt
Filed under: uncultured bacterium
Lineage: Bacteria
Description: partial 16S ribosomal RNA
Rfam family: Bacterial small subunit ribosomal RNA
Source: RNAcentral